RNAcentral lists this ribosomal RNA (464 nucleotides) under Lachnospiraceae bacterium canine oral taxon 161. Its description in RNAcentral is "bacterial SSU rRNA". It matches the Rfam family "Bacterial small subunit ribosomal RNA", at positions 9 to 456 of the family's 1533-position model. Lineage: Bacteria; Bacillati; Bacillota; Clostridia; Lachnospirales; Lachnospiraceae. The record is from RNAcentral.
GAGUUUGAUCAUGGCUCAGGAUGAACGCUGGCGGCAUGCCUAACACAUGCAAGUUGAACGAGAAGUUCUGGAGGGAGUCUUCGGACGAACGAAGGGAUGGAAAGUAGCGAACGGGUGAGUAACGCGUGGGCAACCAACCUUACACAGGGGGAUAACACAGAGAAAUCUGUGCUAAUACCGCAUAAGCGCACAGUAUCACAUGAUACGGUGUGAAAAACUCUGGUGGUGUAAGACGGGCCCGCGUCUGAUUAGCUAGUUGGUGGGGUAAAAGCCUACCAAGGCGACGAUCAGUAGCCGACCUGAGAGGGUGAUCGGCCACAUUGGGACUGAGACACGGCCCAAACUCCUACGGGAGGCAGCAGUGGGGGAUAUUGCACAAUGGAGGAAACUCUGAUGCAGCAAUGCCGCGUGAAGGAAGACGGUUUUCGGAUUGUAAACUUCUAUCAGCAGGGAAGAAAAUGACG